This 404-nucleotide long non-coding RNA is filed under the name Gossypium barbadense (sea-island cotton). RNAcentral's name for it is "long non-coding RNA (GBAR_LNC001974)". The record is from RNAcentral. Lineage: Eukaryota; Viridiplantae; Streptophyta; Magnoliopsida; Malvales; Malvaceae.
GUGAUUUGAACUUGAUCGAAUAGUGGACCGUCGGAGCUCGUAUCACACUAUCAUAACCAUCUCGGUAUUAUGUGCUUUUCAAAAUGUUUAAACUAUGGCAUGUAUAGAGUCUUAAUCAUUUUGAGCAUGUCCAAAUGAUAUGGCUAAUGUUAGCUAUUGAAGUAGUUAUUAAUGAAUAUGUUUUGGAGUUAUGUAUGUUUAAAUGGUAACUAAUUCAAAGAAGCAGUUUCUUUGACAGCAGCAGUGACGUGAAUGUGAAAAAUCACCAUAAAUAGUAGAAAUGGAAUUAGAGGGUGAAUGAUAUAUAGAAUUAAAGCUUAUCAAGUCUAUUUUUACAUGAAAGAAACGGUGUAGGCAAAGGAAUUUUAUAUUUUGAGAUAUUUAAAUUUUAGUGAGACAGGGUC